This 468-nucleotide ribosomal RNA is filed under the name uncultured bacterium. Its description in RNAcentral is "partial 16S ribosomal RNA". It matches the Rfam family "Bacterial small subunit ribosomal RNA", at positions 28 to 507 of the family's 1533-position model. The record is from RNAcentral.
GACGAACGCUGGCGGCGUGCUUAACACAUGCAAGUCGAACGGAAAGGCCCUGCUUUUGUGGGGUGCUCGAGUGGCGAACGGGUGAGUAACACGUGAGUAACCUGCCCUUGACUUUGGGAUAACUUCAGGAAACUGGGGCUAAUACCGGAUAGGAGCUCCUGCUGCAUGGUGGGGGUUGGAAAGUUUCGGCGGUUGGGGAUGGACUCGCGGCUUAUCAGCUUGUUGGUGAGGUAGUGGCUUACCAAGGCUUUGACGGGUAGCCGGCCUGAGAGGGUGACCGGGCACAUUGGGACUGAGAGACGGACCAGACUGCUACGGGAGGCAGCAGGGGGGAGUAUUGCAGAAUGGGCGGAAGCGUGAUGCAGCAACGCCGCGUUCGGGAUGACGGCCUUCGGGUUGUAAACCGCUUUCGCCGGUGACGAAGCGUGAGUGACGGUAAUGGGUAAAGAAGCACCGGCUAACUACGUG